This 1528-nucleotide ribosomal RNA is filed under the name Bacteroides salyersiae. RNAcentral's name for it is "bacterial SSU rRNA". It matches the Rfam family "Bacterial small subunit ribosomal RNA". The record is from RNAcentral. Lineage: Bacteria; Pseudomonadati; Bacteroidota; Bacteroidia; Bacteroidales; Bacteroidaceae.
CUUUUACAAUGAAGAGUUUGAUCCUGGCUCAGGAUGAACGCUAGCUACAGGCUUAACACAUGCAAGUCGAGGGGCAUCAGGGUGUAGCAAUACACCGCUGGCGACCGGCGCACGGGUGAGUAACACGUAUCCAACCUGCCCUUUACUCGGGGAUAGCCUUUCGAAAGAAAGAUUAAUACCCGAUGGUAUAACAUGACCUCCUGGUUUUGUUAUUAAAGAAUUUCGGUAGAGGAUGGGGAUGCGUUCCAUUAGGCAGUUGGCGGGGUAACGGCCCACCAAACCUUCGAUGGAUAGGGGUUCUGAGAGGAAGGUCCCCCACAUUGGAACUGAGACACGGUCCAAACUCCUACGGGAGGCAGCAGUGAGGAAUAUUGGUCAAUGGGCGAGAGCCUGAACCAGCCAAGUAGCGUGAAGGAUGACCGCCCUAUGGGUUGUAAACUUCUUUUAUAUGGGAAUAAAGUCUGCCACGUGUGGCAUUUUGUAUGUACCAUAUGAAUAAGGAUCGGCUAACUCCGUGCCAGCAGCCGCGGUAAUACGGAGGAUCCGAGCGUUAUCCGGAUUUAUUGGGUUUAAAGGGAGCGUAGGUGGACAUGUAAGUCAGUUGUGAAAGUUUGCGGCUCAACCGUAAAAUUGCAGUUGAUACUGCGUGUCUUGAGUACAGUAGAGGUGGGCGGAAUUCGUGGUGUAGCGGUGAAAUGCUUAGAUAUCACGAAGAACUCCGAUUGCGAAGGCAGCUCACUGGACUGCAACUGACACUGAUGCUCGAAAGUGUGGGUAUCAAACAGGAUUAGAUACCCUGGUAGUCCACACAGUAAACGAUGAAUACUCGCUGUUUGCGAUAUACAGUAAGCGGCCAAGCGAAAGCAUUAAGUAUUCCACCUGGGGAGUACGCCGGCAACGGUGAAACUCAAAGGAAUUGACGGGGGCCCGCACAAGCGGAGGAACAUGUGGUUUAAUUCGAUGAUACGCGAGGAACCUUACCCGGGCUUAAAUUGCAAAUGAAUAUGCCGGAAACGGCAUAGCCGCAAGGCAUUUGUGAAGGUGCUGCAUGGUUGUCGUCAGCUCGUGCCGUGAGGUGUCGGCUUAAGUGCCAUAACGAGCGCAACCCUUAUCUUCAGUUACUAACAGGUUAUGCUGAGGACUCUGGAGAGACUGCCGUCGUAAGAUGUGAGGAAGGUGGGGAUGACGUCAAAUCAGCACGGCCCUUACGUCCGGGGCUACACACGUGUUACAAUGGGGGGUACAGAAGGCCGCUACACAGCGAUGUGAUGCCAAUCCCUAAAGCCCCUCUCAGUUCGGAUCGAAGUCUGCAACCCGACUUCGUGAAGCUGGAUUCGCUAGUAAUCGCGCAUCAGCCACGGCGCGGUGAAUACGUUCCCGGGCCUUGUACACACCGCCCGUCAAGCCAUGGGAGCCGGGGGUACCUGAAGUACGUAACCGCAAGGAGCGUCCUAGGGUAAAACUGGUGACUGGGGCUAAGUCGUAACAAGGUAGCCGUACCGGAAGGUGCGGCUGGAACACCUCCUUU